RNAcentral lists this ribosomal RNA (460 nucleotides) under uncultured bacterium. RNAcentral describes it as "partial 16S ribosomal RNA". It matches the Rfam family "Bacterial small subunit ribosomal RNA", at positions 338 to 795 of the family's 1533-position model. The record is from RNAcentral.
CCUACGGGAGGCAGCAGUGAGGAAUAUUGGUCAAUGGACGAGAGUCUGAACCAGCCAAGUAGCGUGAAGGAUGACUGCCCUAUGGGUUGUAAACUUCUUUUAUAUGGGAAUAAAAUGUUCCACGUGUGGGAUUUUGUAUGUAACAUAUGAAUAAGGAUCGGAUAAAUCCGUGCCAGCAGCCGCGGUAAUACGGAGGAUCCGAGCGUUAUCCGGAUUUAUUGGGUUUAAAGGGAGCGUAGGUGGAUUGUUAAGUCAGUUGUGAAAGUUUGCGGCUCAACCGUAAAAUUGCAGUUGAAACUGGCAGUCUGGAGUACAGUAGAGGUGGGCGGAAUUCGUGGUGUAGCGGUGAAAUGCUUAGAUAUCACGAAGAACUCCGAUUGCGAAGGCAGCUCACUGGACUGCAACUGACACUGAGGCUCGAAAGUGUGGGUAUCAAACAGGAUUAGAUACCCCAGUAGUC